Molecule: non-coding RNA, 72 nt
Organism: Phrynosoma platyrhinos (Desert horned lizard)
Lineage: Eukaryota; Metazoa; Chordata; Lepidosauria; Squamata; Phrynosomatidae
Source: the annotation of a GenBank genome assembly
GCCAAUGUGGCUUAGUGAUUUGGGCACUGGACUAUGACUCUGGAGACCAGGGUUCAAUUCUCCAGUCUGCCA